Molecule: long non-coding RNA, 524 nt
Organism: Malaclemys terrapin pileata
Lineage: Eukaryota; Metazoa; Chordata; Testudines; Emydidae
Exons: 4
Source: RefSeq, a predicted model, not a curated record
UUUCCACUGGGAUUUGGGUCCCUGACCCCUUUGGCGUGGCUGUUGGUGGGAAGCUUGCGCCAUUCCUGCUAGCACGGUGCUUGGAGUCAUCAGAAUGACACAUCCCCAAUUCCACGAGCACCAAAUGUCACUCGGAUAGUGUGAUGGGAUGGAAUUUCAGCUGAACACCAGGUCAUGCUUAACAGUCUCGACUCCAGCUGAAGUCAUGGGGAGCUCUGCACCUCUGAAAAUCAAGCCCAAGGCAUCGAAUGGCUUUCAGGCCCCCUGUGGCUCAGACAUUCUUCUUGCUUCUGAAGUGCAGUAAGCCAGGGCUCUGGCAGUCAAAGGUGGAUUGCAAAGGCUGCUACUAAAAAGAAUCACUCCAACCUCAGAGUCAAACAGAAGAACCUGCAUGAAAAUGCUUUACAGCAGAGCAAGACCACACUUAAAGAUUAUACUUGGCAAUCUUUGUUUUGGAGGUUGGGGGUGGAGGGGCGAGGCUUAAUGUAAGAAGGAAACAAUAAAUCAAUUGUUACAUUAAUAGU